This is a non-coding RNA of Pelobates cultripes (western spadefoot toad), 550 nucleotides long. NCBI's taxonomy places the organism in Eukaryota, Metazoa, Chordata, Amphibia, Anura, Pelobatidae. The record is from the annotation of a GenBank genome assembly.
CUCAUGGUAGCUUUAAAAGAACACCAGUUGUUAGAAUAUGAUGUUUAGUUGGGCAUGUUAAUUUCAAAAUAGCGUACUAUCUGGGAUCUAAAAUAAUCUAGAUUUGUUUUAUUAUGGAGUAGAUAAUCUUUUAAUCUCCAUGUAGCUUUGUUUAUAGUAUUCCACUGGUCUCUCAUAGUCCAGAUAUUAAUACUGUGGUCUGACCAGGUAUUAUACCGGAUUUCAAUCUUCUCUACCAUUUCUAAAGCUAUUGCGUAGCCCCACACCAUGUCAAUACGCGAGUAUGAGUAGUGUACUCUAGAAAAAAAAAGUAUAAUCCUGUCUCUCCGGGUUGGAAGAUCUCCAUAGGUCAAAAAAAAUCUAAUUCAUUCAGUAACUUGUUUAAAGAUUUGGCCAUUUUUACAACAGAACUAUUGGCUUUUAAAUUAUUACUAAACUUCUUAUCCAAGAUUGGAUCCAAAACGCAGUUAAAAUCUCCUGCUAUAAUACACACUCCAGUUUUUAUAGAUUCAACUUGUUCUAGUAUGUCUCUAAGAGUAAUCACUGGGAG